ACGGGUGAGUAAUGCCUAGGAAUCUGCCUGAUAGUGGGGGAUAACGUCCGGAAACGGACGCUAAUACCGCAUACGUCCUACGGGAGAAAGCAGGGGACCUUCGGGCCUUGCGCUAUCAGAUGAGCCUAGGUCGGAUUAGCUAGUUGGUGAGGUAAAGGCUCACCAAGGCGACGAUCCGUAACUGGUCUGAGAGGAUGAUCAGUCACACUGGAACUGAGACACGGUCCAGACUCCUACGGGAGGCAGCAGUGGGGAAUAUUGGACAAUGGGCGAAAGCCUGAUCCAGCCAUGCCGCGUGUGUGAAGAAGGUCUUCGGAUUGUAAAGCACUUUAAGUUGGGAGGAAGGGUCGUUACCUAAUACGUGACGAUUUUGACGUUACCGACAGAAUAAGCACCGGCUAACUCUGUGCCAGCAGCCGCGGUAAUACAGAGGGUGCAAGCGUUAAUCGGAAUUACUGGGCGUAAAGCGCGCGUAGGUGGUUUGUUAAGUUGAAUGUGAAAUCCCCGGGCUCAACCUGCGAACUGCAUCCAAAACUGGCAAGCUAGAGUAGGGCAGAGGGUGGUGGAAUUUCCUGUGUAGCGGUG
This 585-nucleotide ribosomal RNA is filed under the name Pseudomonas sp. StFLB303. RNAcentral describes it as "bacterial SSU rRNA". It matches the Rfam family "Bacterial small subunit ribosomal RNA", at positions 102 to 683 of the family's 1533-position model. The record is from RNAcentral. Lineage: Bacteria; Pseudomonadati; Pseudomonadota; Gammaproteobacteria; Pseudomonadales; Pseudomonadaceae.